AGGACUAACGCUGGCGGCGUGCCUAACACAUGCAAGUCGAACGGGGUAGCAAUACCCAGUGGCAGACGGGUGAGUAACACGUGGUCAACCUACCUCUGUGUGGGGGAUAACUAGCCGAAAGGUUAGCUAAUACCGCAUACGAUCGUUUUGAGGCAUCUCGAGACGAUGAAAGGAGCAAUCCGCACGGAGAGGGGGACUGCGUCCCAUUAGUUAGUUGGUGGGGUAACGGCCUACCAAGACUCCGAUGGGUAGCUGGCUUGAGAGAGCGACCAGCCACACUGGAACUGAGAAACGGUCCAGACUCCUACGGGAGGCAGCAGUGAGGAAUUUUUCCGCAAUGGGCGAAAGCCUGACGGAGCGACGCCGCGUGUGGGAUGAAGGCCUUCGGUCGUAACCACUGUCGAAGGGGACGAGUAAUGACGGUACCCUUGGAGGAAGCCCGGCUAACUACGCGCCAGCAGCCGC
Molecule: ribosomal RNA, 465 nt
Filed under: uncultured bacterium
Lineage: Bacteria
Description: SSU rRNA
Rfam family: Bacterial small subunit ribosomal RNA
Source: RNAcentral